RNAcentral lists this transfer RNA (73 nucleotides) under Chitinophaga barathri. It matches the Rfam family "tRNA". From Rfam's summary of the family: Transfer RNA (tRNA) molecules are approximately 80 nucleotides in length. The record is from Rfam by way of RNAcentral. Lineage: Bacteria; Pseudomonadati; Bacteroidota; Chitinophagia; Chitinophagales; Chitinophagaceae. RNAcentral also lists the same sequence under 1 other name.
GGUGUGGUAGCUCAGUUGGUAGAGCAAUGGACUGAAAAUCCAUGUGUCGCCGGUUCGAUCCCGGCCCUCACCA